AUGCACCGUAGUUUACUACACCGUAUUCUGUGAGUUGCGAACGGGUGAGUAACGCGUAGGUAACCUGCCUGGUAGCGGGGGAUAACUAUUGGAAACGAUAGCUAAUACCGCAUAAGAACAUUUACUGCAUGGUAGAUGUUUAAAAGGUGCAAAAGCAUCACUACCAGAUGGACCUGCGUUGUAUUAGCUAGUUGGUGAGGUAACGGUCACCAAGGCAACGAUACAUAGCCGACCUGAGAGGGUGAUCGGCCACACUGGGACUGAGACACGGCCAGACUCCUACGGGAGGCAGCAGUAGGGAAUCUUCGGCAAUGGGGGGAACCCUGACCGAGCAACGCCGCGUGAGUGAACGAAGGUUUCGGAUCGUAAAGCUCUGUGUUACGGAAGAACGUGUGUGACAGUGGAAAGUUCACACAGUGACGGUACUUAACCAGAAAGGGACGGUAACUACGUGCCAGCAGCCGCGGUAAUACGUAGGUCCCGAGCGUAGUCCGGAUUUAUUGGGCGUAAGGCCGAGCGCAGGCGGUUAGAUCAAAGUCUGACAGUGAAAGGCAGUGGCUCAACCAUUGUAGGCUUUGGAAACUGUUUAACUUGAGUGCAGUAAGGGGAGCACUGGAAUUCCAUGUGUACCGGUGUAAAUGCGUAGAUAUAUGGAGGGACACCGGUGGCGUAACGGCUCUCUGGUCUGUAACUGACGCUGAGGCUCUGAAAGCCUGGUGAGCGAACAGGAUUAGAUACCCUGGUAGUCCACACCGUAAACGAUGACCUGCUAGGUGUUAGUCCUUUCCGGGACUUAGUCCCAGCUACGCAUAAGCACUCCGCCUGG
Molecule: ribosomal RNA, 826 nt
Filed under: uncultured Streptococcaceae bacterium
Lineage: Bacteria; Bacillati; Bacillota; Bacilli; Lactobacillales; Streptococcaceae
Description: bacterial SSU rRNA
Rfam family: Bacterial small subunit ribosomal RNA
Source: RNAcentral